RNAcentral lists this ribosomal RNA (433 nucleotides) under uncultured bacterium. RNAcentral's name for it is "partial 16S ribosomal RNA". It matches the Rfam family "Bacterial small subunit ribosomal RNA", at positions 29 to 507 of the family's 1533-position model. The record is from RNAcentral.
AACGAACGCUGGCGGCAUGCCUAACACAUGCAAGUCGAGCGAUGCCGUCGGGUCCUGGGGCGAACGGGUACGUAACGCAACGGGAGCGUCCCGCAGGGGCGGAAUAACUUCCCGCAAGGGGCGCCAAUAGCGGACGAAUGCUACUACCGCAUGAUAUAUCGACUCAGGAGGGGCCCGCGUGCAAUUAGCUAGUUGGUCGCGUAAAAGCCUACCAAGGUGGCGUUCCAUAGCUGGUGUGAGAGGAUGAUCCGCACCACUGGGACUGACACACGGCCCAGACGCCUGGGGGAGGCAGCAAUGGGGAAUAUUGGACACUGGGCGAGAGAAUGAGGCAGCCGUGCCGUGUGAGUGAUGAAGGAGUUAGGAUUGUAAAGCUCUUUUGACCGGGAUGAUAAUGACAGUACCGAGCGAAUAAGCGCCGGCUAACUCCGUG